GUCUACGGGCCAUGCCAGUCUGAACAAGCCCAUCCUGUCCAAUCUCGGAAGCUAAGCAGACUCAGGCCUGGUUAGUACUUGGAUGGGAGACCACCUAGGAAGACCAGGUGCUGUAGGUA
This 119-nucleotide ribosomal RNA is filed under the name Pteropus alecto (black flying fox). Lineage: Eukaryota; Metazoa; Chordata; Mammalia; Chiroptera; Pteropodidae. The record is from RNAcentral.